GGGUAUUCCAAUAAUGAGUAGUGG
Molecule: non-coding RNA, 24 nt
Filed under: Arabidopsis thaliana (thale cress)
Lineage: Eukaryota; Viridiplantae; Streptophyta; Magnoliopsida; Brassicales; Brassicaceae
Source: RNAcentral